GCUCCUGAGCCAGAAUGUCACAUGGGCGCCCGGCGACUCGGCCGCACAAACACUAUAAUACAUGGAUACGGUAUACAUACAAUCUAUGGCUGAUCAUUACAUCUGGUCGGGGCUCUUUGGGACUCAGUUACAAAUUUAAUCAUACAUCUCUCCCAAAAACACAAGAGGAGGGAAGCAUCUCAAGAGGAAGCAGCAGACAAUUUAAGCACAUCAGAAGAAAAUCCAAAUCUGUCCAAGAACAUCACGAAUCGAGAAGGAAGUACCGAGAUCUCUAUUGAACAAGUAAACGCCAGAAUAUAUCCACAAUUAGGCUUACACGAGGUUCGCACGCAGAACGCCAGAGAGAGCGAAAGAAGGAACAACCGGAAAGAAGAACCAAUUCCAGCGCCGCGACGAACGCUCGCACCGCCGCAACUAGCGCUCGCAGCGCCACAAUUAACGCUCGCAACGCCACAGCAUUCAUGUGCUCCAAUAUUCAGUGACAUGAACGGAUUUAGGACAAUUAUUGAUUUUUGGCCUAACAUUAUCAAUGGUGUCAAAUUGUGCAUUGAAAAGGAAGGAAAAUUAAAAGGAAAGAGAGGAAAAAGAAGAAAGGAAAAGGAAAAGAGAUGUGGAAGGAAGCAUAAUCUGAAUCAGUGGAUAAUCAUUAACAGCAGUAAGGAUGCCAUUAGCAAUGGCAAUCAAUUUGUCAUAAUAUUUGUAAUAUAAUUGUAUUUUAGAUUUCAGCGAAGCAUAUAAAAGCAUUCAAAAUGGAAAGAUAGAAAUUUUUUUUAUAUUUUAUUGUUCAG
Long non-coding RNA from Acromyrmex echinatior (Panamanian leafcutter ant), 788 nucleotides. RefSeq lists it as uncharacterized. The record is from RefSeq and is a predicted model, not a curated record. Lineage: Eukaryota; Metazoa; Arthropoda; Insecta; Hymenoptera; Formicidae.